This is a long non-coding RNA of Penaeus vannamei (Pacific white shrimp), 441 nucleotides long. RefSeq lists it as uncharacterized. The record is from RefSeq and is a predicted model, not a curated record. NCBI's taxonomy places the organism in Eukaryota, Metazoa, Arthropoda, Malacostraca, Decapoda, Penaeidae.
AGUGCUCAUCAUGGGGUAUAAAAAGGCUCGGAAGAAACGAGAGCAGCGCAUCUUGCACUCAGCCUGCACCGAGACAGCACACUCCUCUCUGUCCCAAGAUGAAGCUGAUCUCCUUCUUGGUGGCCAUGGUGGCGGCCCUAGCGUGCUUCUUGGGGUCCGCUCGCGCCAUGCCCGACGCCCUCGCAUUGGCUGACCCUGACCCCGUGGCUGGCCCUGACCCCGUGGCUGACCCUGACCCUUGGGGACAUGGGGGGCGUAGGUAUGGUUAUGGGGGCUAUGGUUUCCGUAGUCAUUACAGACGCUGGUAGAAAAGGUCAUGCCCAGCUACAGUGACCUCACAGAUUUAGGAUCGACCUUGUAUCAACACCCGUUGCUAUGGCAGUUUUCAUCACAAAACAAAAUAUCCAAUUUGAUAUAGCUGAAUAAAAAGAAUUAAAUCCA